UUGCUUUGGCAGCACAUAUACUAAAACUGGAACAAUACAGAGAAGAUUAGCAUGGCUGCUGUGCAAGGAUGACACACAAAUUUGUGAAGCAUUACAUAUUAAU
Molecule: small nuclear RNA, 103 nt
Organism: Protopterus annectens (West African lungfish)
Lineage: Eukaryota; Metazoa; Chordata; Ceratodontiformes; Protopteridae
Source: RefSeq, a predicted model, not a curated record